RNAcentral lists this ribosomal RNA (468 nucleotides) under uncultured bacterium. RNAcentral's name for it is "partial 16S ribosomal RNA". It matches the Rfam family "Bacterial small subunit ribosomal RNA", at positions 28 to 507 of the family's 1533-position model. The record is from RNAcentral.
GACGAACGCUGGCGGCGUGCUUAACACAUGCAAGUCGAACGGAAAGGCCCUGCUUUUGUGGGGUGCUCGAGUGGCGAACGGGUGAGUAACACGUGAGUAACCUGCCCUUGACUUUGGGAUAACUUCAGGACACUGGGGCUCAUACCGGAUAGGAGCUCCUGCUGCAUGGUGGGGGUUGGAAAGUUUCGGUGGUUGGGGAUGGACUCGCGGCCUAUCGGCUUGUUGGUGGGGUAGUGGCUUACCAUGGCUUUGAAAGGUGGCCGGCCUGAGAGGGGGACCGGCCACGUUGGGACGGGGAUACGGCCCAGACUCGAACGGGAGGCAGCAGUGGGGAGUAUUGCACAAUGGGCGGAGGCCUAAUGCGGCAACGCCGCGUGCGGGAUGACGGCCAUCGGGUUGUAAACCGCUUUCGCCUGUGACGAGACGUGAGUGACGGUAAUGGGUAAAGAAGCACCGGCUAACUACGUG